UGCAAGACCCUGGAGAUCCAGCAGCCAAAAGCAAUCCACGUAGAAAAACCUAGGAAAGGUGACAACGGCUCUAGUUAGCAGCCUCCUGCAGCAAAGACCGAGGUUGGCCACUGGAGCGCAGCACUGAGCCAAGGACACCGGACCUGUGGGGCGUGGUGGCGGAUUGUGUUGUCUUCCCUAUGGAGAUGGGGGCGCCGCUGCCCCACCUACCUCCCCAGGCAGCAAGCCUUCAUUCCUGCCCCGUGCAGAGAGGAGACUGCUGCCCGACCACCGACCACCGGUCACCGGCCACCGUGCUCAGACCUUGGCCCCUCCAGGAGGAGUGAAACGGGACCUUCUGCUCUGCGUGGCUCUACCUACAAAACAAAUCACUCCGGGAAACAGUUAACUGAUACUUCUGGUUUAUUCCAACAGUGAAGCAACUCUCUCCAUACUCCAUAGACUACCAGCCAGUUCAUCUCUUAAUCCAGGUAUAGUUGUUCAAAAAAAAAAAAAAAAGGAAACAAGACAAACACAACAGCGGCUCCCAACAGGGCUCUUACCAAUCUGCUCUGCCCUGACACUGUCUGCCUGGAGUUAGUGCGUAGGCUAUGCUAACCAGCUUUCUGCCACCAUAACACAUGUCUGAGAUAACAUAUAAAGAGAAAGAUUUAUUUGGACCCACAGCUUUGAAGGUUUCAGUCCCUAAAGUUGGCCAGAUUAGAUUCGGAGUCUCUGACUGAGCAUGUGAAUUAGGGUCCUAUGACCUUCCUUCUCCGUUUUAAUUAACUUGCUAGUUUGCCCGACAGGCAUCAGACGGGCGGCUCAACAACCACUUGCAUGAGCUUGGAAGGGACUCUUUCCUCAGUCCAGCUUUGAAUGACUCAUUUCCAGCUGACACUUGCCAGGAGAGACCCUGAGCUGGAGGCCUGGUUAAGCUGUACUCUUAACUCCCAGACACUGUGAGAUAAUCAGUGUUUGUUACAGCAAGCCACUGAUUGGGGAACAAUUUGCUAGAAUUAAGCAAACACUAGGAUACUCACAUCAGCUAACACGCAUGUGCUGCACGAACACUGUCACGGUGGGUAAAGAAAAUGUUAUCUAUUAUUUCUUCUAACGGAUUCACUGAGAACACCAGCAUGACAAAGUUUUCACAGCAUUGCAUAUUGAAAGAAACAUUAAUUCUGAUCAAUUUUCCGAUUAUAUUUAAUCACAGAUUCUGCUUCAGAGGAAGCACCUGCUGAUAUCUUAUAGAACUACUCUUUGGACAGUUACACAAUGCUGGAACAAGAAAACAUCAUUUGGGAGGCAGAAGUAGGAGAACUCUAAGUUCGAGGCUAGCCUGAGUUAGAAUGAGGUGCAGUCUCCAAAAAGAAGUGCAUUAAAAGAGUAGUGACUACAAAUCUAUCAUCCCUCCUUGGUUGAGAAGCAUCUCUUUUAAAAAUUUAACUUAAUUUAAUUUUUUUAAGAUCAACAUAUUAUUGACUUAUUUAUUUAUAUAUCAAAUGUUGUCCCAUUGUUCUGUUUCCUCUUUAGAAACCCAAUAUCUCCCGCUGCUUCUAUGAGGAUGCUCCCCUACCCACACACCCCACUCCCUCCCACCACCGUCCUCUGACAUUCCCCUACACUGGAGCAUUGAGCCUUGACAGGACCAAGGGCCUCUCCUCCCAUUGAUGCCAGACAAGGCCACACUCUGCUACACAUGUAGCUGGAGUCAUAGAUCCAUCCCUGUGUACCCUUGGGAUGGUGUUUUAAUUCUUUAGGAGCUCUGGGGGGGGGGUCUGGUUGGUUGAUAUUGUUGUUCUUCUUAUGGGGUUGCAAACCCCUUCAGCUCCUUCAGUCCUUUCUCUAAUUCCUCAAUUGGGAAUCCCGUUCUCAGUCCAAUGGUUGGCUGCGAGCAUCUACCUCUGUAUUUGUCAGGGUCUGGCAGAGCCUCCCAGGAGAUGGCUAUAUCAGGCUCUUGUCAGCAUGUA
RNAcentral lists this long non-coding RNA (1952 nucleotides) under Rattus norvegicus (Norway rat). RNAcentral's name for it is "long non-coding RNA NONRATT031473". The record is from RNAcentral. Lineage: Eukaryota; Metazoa; Chordata; Mammalia; Rodentia; Muridae.